UACGUAGGUCCCGAGCGUUGUCCGGAUUUAUGGGGCGUAAAGCGAGCGCAGGUGGUUUAUUAAGUCUGGUGUAAAAGGCAGUGGCUCAACCAUUGUAUGCAUUGGAAACUGGUAGACUUGAGUGCAGGAGAGGAGAGUGGAAUUCCAUGUGUAGCGGUGAGAUGCGUAGAUAUAUGGAGGAACACCGGUGGCGAAAGCGGCUCUCUGGCCUGUAACUGACACUGAGGCUCGAAAGCGUGGGGAGCAAACAGG
This 252-nucleotide ribosomal RNA is filed under the name uncultured bacterium. Its description in RNAcentral is "partial 16S ribosomal RNA". It matches the Rfam family "Bacterial small subunit ribosomal RNA", at positions 524 to 776 of the family's 1533-position model. The record is from RNAcentral.